RNAcentral lists this ribosomal RNA (492 nucleotides) under uncultured bacterium. Its description in RNAcentral is "partial 16S ribosomal RNA". It matches the Rfam family "Bacterial small subunit ribosomal RNA", at positions 29 to 507 of the family's 1533-position model. The record is from RNAcentral.
AGUGAACGCUGGCGGUAGGCCUAACACAUGCAAGUCGAACGGCAGCACAGUAAGAGCUUGCUCUUACGGGUGGCGAGUGGCGGACGGGUGAGGAAUACAUCGGAAUCUACUUUUUCGUGGGGGAUAACGUAGGGAAACUUACGCUAAUACCGCAUACGACCUACGGGUGAAAGCAGGGGAUCUUCGGACCUUGCGCGAUUGAAUGAGCCGAUGUCGGAUUAGCUAGUUGGCGGGGUAAAGGCCCACCAAGGCGACGAUCCGUAGCUGGUCUGAGAAGAUGAUCAGCCACACUGGAACUGAGACACGGUCCAGACCCCUACGGGAGGCAGCAGUGGGGAAUAUUGGACAAUGGGCGCAAGCCUGAUCCAGCCAUACCGCGUGGGUGAAGAAGGCCUUCGGGUUGUAAAGCCCUUUUGUUGGGAAAGAAAAGCAGCAGGUUAAUACCCCGCUGUUCUGACGGUACCCAAAGAAUAAGCACCGGCUAACUUCGUG